UGGGGAAUCUUGCGCAAUGGCCGAAAGGCUGACGCAGCGACGCCGCGUGUGGGAGGAAGCUCUUCGGGGUGUAAACCACUGUUGCCCGGGACGAACACUUGGUUUUGACCAAGCUGACGGUACCGGGUGAGGAAGCACCGGCUAACUCUGUGCCAGCAGCCGCGGUAAUACAGAGGGUGCGAGCGUUGUCCGGAAUCACUGGGCGUAAAGGGCGCGUAGGUGGUGGCUUAAGCGUGCGGUGAAAGCUCGGAGCUCAACUCCGAGUCGGCCGUGCGAACUGGGCUCACUGGAGCAUAGUAGAGGCAGGUGGAAUUCCGGGUGUAGCGGUGGAAUGCGUAGAGAUCCGGAAGAACACCGGUGGCGAAGGCGGCCUGCUGGGCUAUGGCUGACACUGAGGCGCGACAGCGUGGGGAGCAAACA
Molecule: ribosomal RNA, 420 nt
Filed under: uncultured Gemmatimonas sp.
Lineage: Bacteria; Pseudomonadati; Gemmatimonadota; Gemmatimonadia; Gemmatimonadales; Gemmatimonadaceae
Description: bacterial SSU rRNA
Rfam family: Bacterial small subunit ribosomal RNA
Source: RNAcentral